Molecule: ribosomal RNA, 229 nt
Filed under: uncultured Rhodoferax sp.
Lineage: Bacteria; Pseudomonadati; Pseudomonadota; Betaproteobacteria; Burkholderiales; Comamonadaceae
Description: partial 16S ribosomal RNA
Rfam family: Bacterial small subunit ribosomal RNA
Source: RNAcentral
CGUGACAAGCCGGAGGAAGGUGGGGAUGACGUCAAGUCCUCAUGGCCCUUAUAGGUGGGGCUACACACGUCAUACAAUGGCUGGUACAAAGGGUUGCCAACCCGCGAGGGGGAGCCAAUCCCAUAAAGCCAGUCGUAGUCCGGAUCGUAGUCUGCAACUCGACUACGUGAAGUCGGAAUCGCUAGUAAUCGUGGAUCAGAAUGUCACGGUGAAUACGUUCCCGGGUCUU